This 1047-nucleotide long non-coding RNA is filed under the name Urocitellus parryii (Arctic ground squirrel). RNAcentral describes it as "lncRNA (ENSUPAG00010012203.1)". The record is from RNAcentral. Lineage: Eukaryota; Metazoa; Chordata; Mammalia; Rodentia; Sciuridae.
CGCACACAUGUCCCCCCCAACCGACUCUGCACCGGAGCCAGCAGACAGGGAAGCUGGCCCCGAAAGGCCUCGGCAUUGCAGUGACACCCCUACCCCUCACCCUCCGCUUUACUGCAAACCAGUCUGAAGAAAGAGCCAGUCCCCAGACAACGCUGAUCAGGAACCCAAAGCUUUUCCUGCACCCUCCCGGGGAAGACAGUCUCAAGGAUGCAGCCCCCAAGGGCGAAAGGGAGAGCGGCACUCUUCAUGCUCCUGGGCGGGCGGACAGGGCGGCGGGAAGGCACUGGCCUGGAGUCCCGGCGCCGAGAGCUGGGUGUGUGGACUUUUGUCGCCUUUUCAUCGGUCAGUGGGAGAAAAGCCCCGACACAAUCCGUACCCCUAUAGAGGGAAGGAGAAGGAAGAUAGUUAAUUCUGGGCAAGGAAAAAGAACACAUUUUUGGAACAGCAAGGUUGUUCCCGAGCAAGGGAUUUGGACGUUGUUUUUCUUCUUCUUUUUUUUUUUUUCUCGUUGAUUUUUUUUUUUUUUUUUUUUUUUUUUUUUUUGGUCUCCAACUUUGGAGUGGGUUACGGACCUUCCGGGGGAGCAUAAGCUGAGCCGAACGAAGGGUGGGGGCUGCAGAACCCGGAAGCCACGCUGGCCCCUCCUCACUCGUUCCCACACUUGCACCCACUGGCGCGCACACGCUUUAUGUCAGUGAUGUGGACCCCCGAACCGCGCCGAGCCGGAUGCAGGCAGGAGCAGCUACUCGGACAGGUGGGGACUGGAGUGGGUGAGGGUUCUUUCGGCCUAGGAGAGCAGCCCCUGGGACUCUUCUGGGAGGGGAGGGAAGAAGAGAGGGAGAAAACCCAAAAAUACAGAAGAAAAUUGGAGGCUAGACGCUGAAUUAACUCUGGAUGACCCACAGGGUGGUGGGGUGGGGGGGAGCGGUGGGAAAGGAGUUGAAUCCAAAUAAGAGUUUAGAUUCUGGGUUUGGGCUAGGUUUCAGUGUAAGGAGAAAAAAAACGAGAUGUUUGAUUAAAGUCAAGAAAAAUAAAUGGACAAGUCUG